AUACUUUAACAUCACUGCUACUUUUGUUUUUCCUUCUGUCUCUGCUCUUCCACGACCUGUGUUCCUGUAACACUUUGCACAUACUCUAACACAGUAAUAAUUAUAAUAUAACAUAACCAGAAUACACCAUAUUAUAGUUUGAUUGGCAGUUCUUUAGAACAGCAGUCAUGCUUUAUUCACAUUAAAAUUUCAAACCCUACCAGUGUGCCUGAGAUAUAGCAGGUGAACAAUACUUGCUUGAUAAAUGAUAUUCCAAAUAUUCAGCUAUGUACAAUAAACAGUAUCUAUACCAACGAUUAAUUUUCACCCCGAGGACAAGUUUUAAGACAAUCUCUAGAAUUAAUAACACUUAAGGAAAUACAACAGAGAAAAAAAUUACUGCCCACAGAAGAGGCUGGGAACAAGAGGGACAGGAAAGGAUAAAAAAAUGAAAGAUGAUUACUUAGGCUGGAACACAACGAAUACAGCCAAAAAGCAAUUAUGAGGCAAGUAUGUGGCCUCUGGUCCAUAGCGCUAGCUCAAAAAAA
Equus caballus (horse) is the source of this 527-nucleotide non-coding RNA. NCBI's taxonomy places the organism in Eukaryota, Metazoa, Chordata, Mammalia, Perissodactyla, Equidae. The record is from RefSeq and is a predicted model, not a curated record.